AGGAAUAUUGGUCAAUGGACGAGAGUCUGAACCAGCCAAGUAGCGUGAAGGAUGACUGCCCUAUGGGUUGUAAACUUCUUUUAUACGGGAAUAAAGUGGAGUAUGCAUACUCCUUUGUAUGUACCGUAUGAAUAAGGAUCGGCUAACUCCGUGCCAGCAGCCGCGGUAAUACGGAGGAUCCGAGCGUUAUCCGGAUUUAUUGGGUUUAAAGGGAGCGUAGGCGGGUGCUUAAGUCAGUUGUGAAAGUUUGCGGCUCAACCGUAAAAUUGCAGUUGAUACUGGGCGCCUUGAGUGCAGCAUAGGUAGGCGGAAUUCGUGGUGUAGCGGUGAAAUGCUUAGAUAUCACGAAGAACUCCGAUUGCGAAGGCAGCUUACUGGACUGUAACUGACGCUGAUGCUCGAAAGUGUGGGUAUCAAACAGGAUUAGAUACCCUGGUAGUCCACACAGUAAACGAUGAAUACUCGCUGUUGGCGAUACACAGUCAGCGGCCAAGCGAAAGCAUUAAGUAUUCCACCUGGGGAGUACGCCGGCAACGGUGAAACUCAAAGGAAUUGACGGGGGCCCGCACAAGCGGAGGAACAUGUGGUUUAAUUCGAUGAUACGCGAGGAACCUUACCCGGGCUUAAAUUGCAACCGAAUAUGGCGGAAACGCUAUAGCUAGCAAUAGCGGUUGUGAAGGUGCUGCAUGGUUGUCGUCAGCUCGUGCCGUGAGGUGUCGGCUUAAGUGCCAUAACGAGCGCAACCCUUGCCGAUAGUUACUAACAGGUUAUGCUGAGGACUCUGUCGGGACUGCCAUCGUAAGAUGUGAGGAAGGUGGGGAUGACGUCAAAUCAGCACGGCCCUUACGUCCGGGGCUACACACGUGUUACAAUGGGGGGUACAGAGGGCUGCUACCACGCAAGUGGAUGCCAAUCCCAAAAACCUCUCUCAGUUCGGAUUGAAGUCUGCAACCCGACUUCAUGAAGCUGGAUUCGCUAGUAAUCGCGCAUCAGCCACGGCGCGGUGAAUACGUUCCCG
RNAcentral lists this ribosomal RNA (1018 nucleotides) under uncultured bacterium. Its description in RNAcentral is "bacterial SSU rRNA". It matches the Rfam family "Bacterial small subunit ribosomal RNA", at positions 357 to 1376 of the family's 1533-position model. The record is from RNAcentral.